This 497-nucleotide ribosomal RNA is filed under the name uncultured bacterium. RNAcentral's name for it is "partial 16S ribosomal RNA". It matches the Rfam family "Bacterial small subunit ribosomal RNA", at positions 28 to 507 of the family's 1533-position model. The record is from RNAcentral.
GAUGAACGCUGGCGGCGUGCCUAAUACAUGCAAGUCGAGCGAACAGACGAGGAGCUUGCUCCUCUGACGUUAGCGGCGGACGGGUGAGUAACACGUGGAUAACCUACCUAUAAGACUGGGAUAACUUCGGGAAACCGGAGCUAAUACCGGAUAAUAUAUUGAACCGCAUGGUUCAAUAGUGAAAGACGGUUUUGCUGUCACUUAUAGAUGGAUCCGCGCCGCAUUAGCUAGUUGGUAAGGUAACGGCUUACCAAGGCAACGAUGCGUAGCCGACCUGAGAGGGUGAUCGGCCACACUGGAACUGAGACACGGUCCAGACUCCUACGGUAGGCAGCAGUAGGGAAUCGUCCGCAAUGGGCGAAAGCCUGACGGAGCAACGCCGCGUGAGUGAUGAAGGUCUUCGGAUCGUAAAACUCUGUUAUUAGGGAAGAACAAAUGUGUAAGUAACUAUGCACGUCGUGACGGUACCUAAUCAGAAAGCCACGGCUAACUACGUG